CACGUAGUUAGCCGUGGCUUAUUCAAGGGGUACCGUCUUCUGCUCUUCCCCCUUAAAAGAAGUUUACAACCCGAAAGCCUUCUUCCUUCACGCGGCGUUGCUGGGUCAGGCUUGCGCCCAUUGCCCAAUAUUCCCCACUGCUGCCUCCCGUAGGAGUCUGGGCCGUAUCUCAGUCCCAAUGUGGCCGGUCAACCUCUCAGUCCGGCUACUGAUCGUCGCCUAGGUGGGCCGUUACCCCGCCUACUAGCUAAUCAGACGCGAGGCCAUCUUCCAGCGAUAAAUCUUUGACAUGUCCGUGAUGCCACGGCCAUGUGUCAUGCGGUAUUAGCAGUCGUUUCCAACUGUUGUCCCCCUCUGGAAGGCAGGUUCCUCACGCGUUACUCACCAGUCCGCCACUAAGCAUUCCCUUCCAUUGUCCGAAAACUCUUUCAGGGGUGCUCCGUUCGACUUGCAUGUGUUAAGCACGCCGCCAGCGUUCGUCCUGAGCCAGGAUCAAACUCU
Molecule: ribosomal RNA, 501 nt
Filed under: uncultured Oscillibacter sp.
Lineage: Bacteria; Bacillati; Bacillota; Clostridia; Eubacteriales; Oscillospiraceae
Description: partial 16S ribosomal RNA
Source: RNAcentral